UCGUAGUACACAAUUUUCUGUUGCUGCUAUCGUUGCAAUGCCGAACAAAAGCGAUAUCACUCAAUUGAAACAAAAGGUUAAGGAAGUUCAGAGACAAGCUCGCAAAGAAAAGGAAGCGCAGAAAAGGGAACGCGCACGGCAAAUUAAACAAGUGAAGCUGCAGGCCCAAAAAGCUCGUAAGGCAAAAGCUAAACAAGUAAAGCAACUAAAGGAGAAGGCUCGGAAGGAGAAAAUUAAACAACGGAAGGAGGACCGUACCAGGCGAGCUAUGGAGAAUAAGCUACUGAAAGAAUUAACCAAAUUGCGCAAGGUCCAUAUGGGGUAGAAUGGAAAUUCUACACAAUAUAUCUAACUUCCUUCUACUUUGAAUAAAUCAAUUUAUGGUUUGAGACUAACAAUUUGUAUUUAUUAUUUUAUUUAUAUGUCACAACAAUCUCACAUAUUUUUUUGUAAGUAUCCCAGCAUUUCCAUUAUAAUUUUACGGAGGAUUAACUCGGAUUACUCAGCAUCUAAGUGGUGUUUCGUUCUUAUUUUCCUAUUUUUUCUUGUAUUUUUUAAACUGACGAUGGAUUUUCAACAAUAAAAGACGAGUGUGUGCGUGUGGGUGUGCGGCUUGCGCGAUACGCGUAUUGUGCGUCCUGCGCGCACGCGAUUUUGGGCAUCCUGCGCGCACUCGUUGUUGACAGUUGGUGUUCAAGUUAAGUCGGGAUAUCAUCUAUGGUUUUGUGAAAUUUGCCGAAGUGUGGUAAAGAGUGCUUGAUGUUAUUCUACAAAUUCAAAUAAGGAACUAAAUCAUUACGAUCCUUAUGAUUUGUUUAAUUUCUGGACAAUGUUUACAGUUUGUAGUUAUAUUGGAUUGACUUAAGGCGGCGUGCUGCCUGGAUGACUUCAAGCAAGGUCACUCUCAGAUCCUCCUGUGGUUGACACUGCUGAGCAUGUUUAUAUUUCAUCUCGUUAUUGUCCUGGCUAAAUAACAUCCGCGUAUGGACAGGUAUACGGAGUGCCGAACAACUUUUUAGACUGUCAGAAGACCGCCCGGAAUCCCUAUCGUCAGGGGGACCGGACAAGGCGUUUGAAAGAAGAAAAUGACGAAAAUUUGGUGGUGUUCCUGUAGAAGUUAUACGUCUAAUGUAGGAUAAAUUGGUUAAUGGUAUUGAGCUAAUAAUUGCCAUUCCUGAAACAGGGAUUUGAUGUGAAGUGGGAAGUGAGUAAUCCAAGUUGCCACUGCUGGAUAUUUUUGACCAGUCUAGACAGUCAUAGAUAUGUGCUCCUACGACCAUAAUGGUGGACGCACGGAAGAGCUACCAGAACAUCAGCGUGCAGAAUGGCGGGACCUAAGGGAGCACCUCCAGGGGUUGGCCUCGUUUUUGGUAAUAAAGAGAUAGAAACAAGGUUUUCUAAUACGGAAGAACCGACUGCACUGGACCCCAACAAGCGCACAAAAGACAUCUCGAGAAAAACAUCGACUUACCCAUGUUUCAUGACUAAUAGCAUUGCGCAGCGAUUCCAGCACUGAAUACUCGUACUAUUGUCAAAAUAUUUCAUUCCAUUUCUGAAAUAUUGUAU
This is a long non-coding RNA of Dalotia coriaria, 1566 nucleotides long. RefSeq lists it as uncharacterized. The transcript has 3 exons. NCBI's taxonomy places the organism in Eukaryota, Metazoa, Arthropoda, Insecta, Coleoptera, Staphylinidae. The record is from RefSeq and is a predicted model, not a curated record.